CCCUUAGAUGUUCUGGGCCGCACGCGUGCUACACUGAGUGGAUCAGCGGGUCAGGUUGCGCGAAAGUGUUUCCUAAUCUUGAAAUCCGCUCGUGAUGGGGAUUGACGGUUGCAAUUUUCCGUCAUGAACGAGGAAUACCUUGUAAGCGCGGGUCAUCAUCCCGCGCUGAAUACGUCCCUGCCCUUUGUACACACCGCCCGUCGCUCCUACCGAUUGAGUGGUCCGGUGAGGCUUUGGGAUCUGAGCAAAGAGAGCGUUUCGCCCGUUUUGCCCGGAAAACUCAGUCGAACCUUAUCAUUUAGAGGAAGGAGAAGUCGUAACA
This 322-nucleotide ribosomal RNA is filed under the name uncultured eukaryote. RNAcentral's name for it is "partial 18S ribosomal RNA". It matches the Rfam family "Eukaryotic small subunit ribosomal RNA", at positions 1470 to 1796 of the family's 1831-position model. The record is from RNAcentral.